ACACCGGCAGCUCAAGUGGUAGCCGCUUUUAUUGGGCCUAAAGCGUCCGUAGCCGGUCUGAUAAGUCUCUGGUGAAAUCCCACAGCUUAACUGUGGGAAUUGCUGGAGAUACUAUCAUGACUCGAGGUCGGGAGAGGCUGGAGGUACUCCCAGGGUAGGGGUGAAAUCCUGUAAUCCUGGGAGGACCACCUGUGGCGAAGGCGUCCAGCUGGAACGAACCUGACGGUGAGGCACGAAAGCCAGGGGCGCGAACCGGAUUAGAUACCCGGGUAGUCCUGGCCGUAAACGAUGUGGACUUGGUGUUGGGAUGGCUCCGAGCUGCCCCAGUGCCGAAGGGAAGCUGUUAAGUCCACCGCCUGGGAAGUACGGUCGCAAGACUGAAACUUAAAGGAAUUGGCGGGG
RNAcentral lists this ribosomal RNA (402 nucleotides) under uncultured bacterium. RNAcentral describes it as "partial 16S ribosomal RNA". It matches the Rfam family "Archaeal small subunit ribosomal RNA", at positions 473 to 873 of the family's 1478-position model. The record is from RNAcentral.